GAUGAACGCUGGCGGCGUGCCUAAUACAUGCAAGUCGAGCGAACGGACGAGGAGCUUGCUCCUCUGACGUUAGCGGCGGACGGGUGAGUAACACGUGGAUAACCUACCUAUAAGACUGGGAUAACUUCGGGAAACCGGAGCUAAUACCGGAUAAUAUAUUGAACCGCAUGGUUCAAUAGUGAAAGACGGUUUUGCUGUCACUUAUAGAUGGAUCCGCGCCGCAUUAGCUAGUUGGUAAGGUAACGGCUUACCAAGGCAACGAUGCGUAGCCGACCUGAGAGGGUGAUCGGCCACACUGGAACUGAGACACGGUCCAGACUCCUACGGGAGGCAGCAGUAGGGAAUCUUCCGCAAUGGGCGAAAGCCUGACGGAGCAACGCCGCGUGAGUGAUGAAGGUCUUCGGAUCGUAAAACUCUGUUAUUAGGGAAGAACAAAUGUGUAAGUAACUGUGCACGUCUUGACGGUACCUAAUCAGAAAGCCACGGCUAACUACGUG
Molecule: ribosomal RNA, 497 nt
Filed under: uncultured bacterium
Lineage: Bacteria
Description: partial 16S ribosomal RNA
Rfam family: Bacterial small subunit ribosomal RNA
Source: RNAcentral